CGGUGAUAAACCGGAGGAAGGUGGGGAUGACGUCAAGUCAUCAUGGCCCUUACGGCCAGGGCUACACACGUGCUACAAUGGCGCGUACAGAGGGCUGCAAGCUAGCGAUAGUGAGCGAAUCCCAAAAAGCGCGUCGUAGUCCGGAUCGGAGUCUGCAACUCGACUCCGUGAAGUCGGAAUCGCUAGUAAUCGCAAAUCAGAAUGUUGCGGUGAAUACGUUCCCGGGCCUUGUACACACCGCCCGUCACACCAUGGGAGUGGGUUGCACCAGAAGUAGAUAGCUUAACCUUCGGGAGGGCGUUUACCACGGUGUG
RNAcentral lists this ribosomal RNA (314 nucleotides) under Aeromonas sp. Prich7-2. RNAcentral describes it as "bacterial SSU rRNA". It matches the Rfam family "Bacterial small subunit ribosomal RNA", at positions 1153 to 1466 of the family's 1533-position model. Lineage: Bacteria; Pseudomonadati; Pseudomonadota; Gammaproteobacteria; Aeromonadales; Aeromonadaceae. RNAcentral also lists the same sequence under 1 other name. The record is from RNAcentral.